RNAcentral lists this long non-coding RNA (470 nucleotides) under Brassica napus (rape). Its description in RNAcentral is "long non-coding RNA (BNAP_LNC011925)". Lineage: Eukaryota; Viridiplantae; Streptophyta; Magnoliopsida; Brassicales; Brassicaceae. The record is from RNAcentral.
UUAGAUGUUUCUGAUUUUGAAUUUGGUGAUUUUUUAAAUGUUUGAAAUUUAAGGGUUAUGUUUAUGAUUUAGGGGUUUGGAGUUUUGAGAAUAUAAGGGUUAGAUUUUUUAUAAGUGUUAUCUUUUAGUUUUUCUUUUAUUUUAUUAAAACUUGAAAAUAUGAGAUUUGAGAUUUUGAGGUAAGCUUUAGUGUUUAUGUUAUUAGGUUUAGAUAUAGGAUAAAGGGUUUAAGGUUUGAAAAUAUGUUAAAGAUUUAGGGUUUGAAAUUUAAAGUGAAACUAGAUUUUGAAAAUAUAAAAUUUUAAAUUUAAACUCAACAUUUAAAAUCAGAAUAGGAAAUAUUUGAGAUUUAGGAUUUGUUUUUAUAGUUUAGUGUUUAAAAAUAUGUUUAGAAUUUAAAAUUUUGUUUAGGGUUUAGGGAUUCAAACAGGUAAACAUAACGUUUUGAGUUAUGUGCUAUUAAAAAUAUG